This 454-nucleotide ribosomal RNA is filed under the name uncultured bacterium. RNAcentral describes it as "bacterial SSU rRNA". It matches the Rfam family "Bacterial small subunit ribosomal RNA", at positions 340 to 786 of the family's 1533-position model. The record is from RNAcentral.
UACGGAAGGCAGCAGUGGGGAAUAUUGCACAAUGGGCGCAAGCCUGAUGCAGCCAUGCCGCGUGUAUGAAGAAGGCCUUCGGGUUGUAAAGUACUUUCAGUCGUGAGGAAGGUGUUAAGGUUAAUAACCUUAGCAAUUGACGUUAGCGACAGAAGAAGCACCGGCUAACUCCGUGCCAGCAGCCGCGGUAAUACGGAGGGUGCGAGCGUUAAUCGGAAUUACUGGGCGUAAAGGGCACGCAGGCGGUUAAUUAAGUUGGAUGUGAAAUCCCCGGGCUUAACCUGGGAAUGGCAUUCAAGACUGGUUAGCUAGAGUCUUGUAGAGGGGGUAGAAUUCCAUGUGUAGCGGUGAAAUGCGUAGAGAUGUGGAGAAAUACCGGCGGCGAAGGCGGCCCCUGGGACAAAGACUGACGCUCAUGUGCGAAAGCGUGGGGAGCAAACAGGGAUUAGAUACC